Molecule: small RNA, 25 nt
Filed under: Bombyx mori (domestic silkworm)
Lineage: Eukaryota; Metazoa; Arthropoda; Insecta; Lepidoptera; Bombycidae
Description: ovarian small RNA-17484
Source: RNAcentral
GGGAACACUACGUGAUGUUGGCUUA